This 702-nucleotide unclassified non-coding RNA is filed under the name Hevea brasiliensis (rubber tree). Lineage: Eukaryota; Viridiplantae; Streptophyta; Magnoliopsida; Malpighiales; Euphorbiaceae. The record is from RNAcentral.
GCUUCCUUCAGCAAGUCAAACACCUUCUCUGCGAUAUAUUUUUGUUCAAGAUUGGCACCUUUUUGUUGUACUUUAUCAGGAUGGAUGCAUAAAGUUGCCUUCCUAUAAGCUUUCUUAACAGCAGCUGCAGUAAUCAAAUCAGUCAACGAAACAGGCUGCCAACCGCAUUCAGGCCACAGCACAUAUUGCAUUGUCGAUAGCAGAGCACGUAGAUUCCCCUCUUUCCCCGCAGCCCAACGCUUGAUCUCAACAUCAAGUGUUUCAGAAAUCCUAUGUCUCUCUGCUUGUUCUCUCUGAACUUGAAGAUCCCGUUGAUUCUUCUCAGCCAGUGCUUUUGCCGCACGCUCUUGAGUCCUUUGGUGACGUUCCAACCUAGCCCUUCGCCUCUCUUCAGUUUCCCCUUCAACCUCUGGGAACUCUCCAGAUGUUCCAGUAGCUCCAAAAAUUGAAGAUAGAUCAUCAACAAUGUUUGCAGUUGAAGAUGCUUUCUUCAUGCUAGAUGUAGCUACAACAGAUGUCCUUCUGGCAGCUUCAGACCCUCCCUUAUUCUGGGUAUCAAAGAAAGGAUCCGAAGAAGUAGCCCUAGGCCUUGGAGCACUGCUUGCUUGAGAACUGAAAGAAUGAUUCAAGAUCAUUUUCAUUCCUCUGUUGGUUUGCUCUAGCGGCAGCAGCUGCCCUUUCUCGAGCAUCUGCAGCAGCCCU